Regulatory RNA element from Alloscardovia omnicolens F0580, 78 nucleotides. It matches the Rfam family "ZMP/ZTP riboswitch aptamer (pfl RNA motif)". From Rfam's summary of the family: Previously known as pfl RNA. ZMP is also known as AICAR. Lineage: Bacteria; Bacillati; Actinomycetota; Actinomycetes; Bifidobacteriales; Bifidobacteriaceae. The record is from Rfam.
AUCGCGUUAUGUGACUGACGGAAGUAGAUUAACCACAGGGAGUAUAACCGUAGGAAGCCGACCGUCUGGGCGAAAGAA